CAUCUGAAAUUUCUAGGUCCUGCUUUUCUGUUGAAACUGAAACAAAGUCUUCAUUCUCAUUGAUUCUACUUCUAUUCUACAGGCUCCCAGUCAUUCCUCAGAAGGGGCAGAAGGAAUGCUGACCAGAACAUCAUAAAUGAAGUUGUGUGAAAUGGACUCUAUGGGAGUAAGCCCUGUGUUUAAUCCUGCAAAGAAUCUCAGGUGGAGGAACCCGGGGUUGUGUGGGCAGACAGGAGGAUAAAGGAAGUAUGCCCUUUCCCUUCUACGGAUGCCCCUGCUUUCAUUGUGAAGAUGCAAAAACAACCUCAGAGGGGGCACAGAUUUUUUUCUCUAAGAUUCACG
This 342-nucleotide long non-coding RNA is filed under the name Capra hircus (goat). RNAcentral's name for it is "lncRNA (ENSCHIG00000004813.1)". The record is from RNAcentral. Lineage: Eukaryota; Metazoa; Chordata; Mammalia; Artiodactyla; Bovidae.